AUGUCAGUUGAGCAUGUUCCCGACAUAAGAUCAAAUUCACUGAAGGUAGGUUUGGAUGGUAUGUUUGCUAUUCUUGGUUUAUCUAUGUCUAAUUUGAGAGGACAAAGUUAUGAUGGGGCUUCAAACAUGAGAGGGGAAUUCUGUCGGUCGCAAAGAUUGAUCUUGGAAGAAAAUCCUUAUGCUCAUUAUAUACGUUGUUUUGCCCAUGAGUUACAAUUAGUGGUUGUUGCUGUUGCCAAGUGUUGUUCAUCAGUAAGGGAUUUUUUUGAAUACACAAGCAUGGUGGUUAACAUUGUUAAUGCUUCUUGUAAACGACAUGAUCAAUUGGCCCAAGAGCAACAUGAUGAAAUAGUGUGUCAAAUAGAGGCUGGGGAACUUCUUGUGGGAAAAGGGAAAAACCAAUUAACUAACCUUGCAAGACCCGAUGAUACACAGUGGGGAUCACAUCAUAAAACCUUGUGCCAUCUUGUUGAGAUGUGGAAACCAGUUUUAAAGGUAUUAGAAAAUCUACAUAAUGAUGCAGAUAAUGUUGCACAAAGAACCACAACCGCGGGAUUGAUAAAGCACAUGGAGUCCUUUGAAUUUGUUCUCAUAUUGCAUCUUAUGAUCACAUUAUUGGGAAGGCUAACAAUCUGUCACAAUGCUUGCAACUGA
Molecule: ribosomal RNA, 654 nt
Filed under: Triticum aestivum (bread wheat)
Lineage: Eukaryota; Viridiplantae; Streptophyta; Magnoliopsida; Poales; Poaceae
Description: partial small subunit ribosomal RNA
Source: RNAcentral